GUCUGCUCGUUAUAAAGAGCAGUCUGGCCUGCCCACUGAUUUAGUUUUAAAGGCCGCGGUAUUCUGACCGUGCGAAGGUAGCAUAAUAAAUAGUCUUUUAAUUGAAGACUGGAAUGAAAGGUCGGACAAGAAAUUAACUGUCUCAGUUUAAAACUCCGAAAUUAACUUUUAAGUGAAAAGGCUUAAAUAUUCUGGGAGGACGACAAGACCCUAUAAAACUUUAUAUACAAAUAAAUAUACUCCUAAUUAUUUAUUUAAAGUUGGAUAUUUUUUUGUUUAUUACGUUGGGGCGACGAAAGUAUAAAUCUAACUGCUUUUUUUUUCCACCAACCAUCUUUGUAGUUUUUGACCCUUUUUUAAAGAUUAAAAGAAAAAGUUACUUUAGGGAUAACAGCGUUAUUUUUUUUGAGAGUCCACAUCGACAAAAAAGUUUGCGACCUCGAUGUUGAAUUAAAAUCUCCUCAUAGUGCAGCAAUUAUGAUGGUAGGUCUGUUCGACCUUUAAAAUUUUACAUGAUUUGAGUUCAAACCGGCGUGAG
This 538-nucleotide ribosomal RNA is filed under the name Michaelcallianassa indica. Its description in RNAcentral is "partial large subunit ribosomal RNA". It matches the Rfam family "Bacterial large subunit ribosomal RNA", at positions 1857 to 2625 of the family's 2925-position model. The record is from RNAcentral. Lineage: Eukaryota; Metazoa; Arthropoda; Malacostraca; Decapoda; Callichiridae.